Molecule: long non-coding RNA, 416 nt
Filed under: Rattus norvegicus (Norway rat)
Lineage: Eukaryota; Metazoa; Chordata; Mammalia; Rodentia; Muridae
Description: long non-coding RNA NONRATT020782
Source: RNAcentral
GAGUUAUCCUGGGUCUGCAAUGCAAGCAGAACCAAGAGUUCCUUUCUACCCCAACUCUUCCACUUUUGCUUAAGGACAAAAAUAAGGAUUGGCUGGCACUGCUGGAUCAUAAGCCUCUUCCUCUGGGAAAGUUACAUGUCACCUUGCCAGCGUCUGUGACUUGUAGAUGUCAGGCAGGAAAGAACCUCCAGUGGCCCAGGAAUAAAGCCUGCUCCUCAGAUGUACAUAAUAACAGGCCCUUCUGUAAGCCUUCCUUCUCACCUCAAACCAUGUCGGGAUGGCUGGAAAGGAUAGGGACUCACCCAACCACUACUGGAAUCCGGUUCACAACAUUCAACCCCUGGCUGUUGGAUUGGAGGCAAGUUACUCUGGAAAUUGGGAAAGAUGCAGGUCCUCUUGAAGUCACACAGGGGCUU